CCUACGGGUGGCAGCAGUGGGGGAUAUUGCACAAUGGGGGGAACCCUGAUGCAGCGACGCCGCGUGGGUGAAGAAGCCCCUCGGCGCGUAAAGCCCUGUCAGCAGGGAAGAAAAUGACAGUGUCUGCAGAAGAAGCCCCGGCUAAAUACGUGCCCGCAGCCGCGGGAAUACGUAGGGGGCAAGCGCUAUCCGGAUUUACUGGGUGUGAAGGGGGCGCAGCCGGGGGUGGAAGACAGGUGUGAAAGCCCGGGGCCCAACCCCGGGACUGCUCUUGAAACUGUGUGGCUUGAGUGGAGGAGGGGCAGGCGGAAUUCCUGGUGUAGCGGUGAAAUGCGUAGAUAUUAGGAGGAACACCAGUGGCGAAGGCGGCCUGCUGGACGGCAACUGACGUUGAGGCGCGAAAGCGUGGGGAGCAAACAGGAUUAGAUACCCCAGUAGUC
RNAcentral lists this ribosomal RNA (440 nucleotides) under uncultured bacterium. Its description in RNAcentral is "partial 16S ribosomal RNA". It matches the Rfam family "Bacterial small subunit ribosomal RNA", at positions 338 to 795 of the family's 1533-position model. The record is from RNAcentral.